Molecule: ribosomal RNA, 1522 nt
Filed under: Lactobacillus delbrueckii subsp. bulgaricus
Lineage: Bacteria; Bacillati; Bacillota; Bacilli; Lactobacillales; Lactobacillaceae
Description: partial 23S ribosomal RNA
Rfam family: Bacterial large subunit ribosomal RNA
Source: RNAcentral
AGGUCAAGUGAAGAAGGGCGCACGGUGAAUGCCUUGGCACUGGAAGCCGAUGAAGGACGCGACUAACCGCGAAAGUCUUCGGGGAGCCGUAAGUAGGCUUUGAUCCGGAGGUCUCCGAAUGGGGGAACCCAGCAUGUGCAGACAUGCUAUCCUUAAGUGAAUACAUAGCUUAAGGAGGGAACACGCAGUGAACUGAAACAUCUAAGUAGCUGCAGGAAGAGAAAGAAAUAUCGAUUUCCCAAGUAGCGGCGAGCGAACAGGAAAGAGCCCAAACCGGCAGAUUUAUCUGCCGGGGUUGUAGGACUGAGACAUGGCACUUCAGAGGAUAGCAGAAGCGUUUGGGAAAGCGCGCCAGAGAGGGUGAGAGCCCCGUAAGCGAAAUCCAAAGAAGGCCUAUCAGUAUCCUGAGUAGGGCGGGACACGUGAAAUCCCGUUUGAAUCCGCGAGGACCAUCUCGCAAGGCUAAAUACUAACCAGUGACCGAUAGUGAACCAGUACCGUGAGGGAAAGGUGAAAAGAACCCCGGGAGGGGAGUGAAAGAGAACCUGAAACCGUGUGCCUACAAGUAGUCAGAGCCCGUUAACGGGUAAUGGCGUGCCUUUUGUAGAAUGAACCGGCGAGUUGCGUUAGUCAGCAAGGUUAAGUCAGAAAAGACGGAGCCGUAGCGAAAGCGAGUCUGAAGAGGGCGAGCAGUUGGCUGACGCAGACCCGAAACCAAGUGACCUACCCAUGACCAGGUUGAAGGCGCGGUAAAACGCGCUGGAGGACCGAACCCACGUAAGUUGAAAAUUGCGGGGAUGAGUUGUGGGUAGCGGUGAAAUUCCAAACGAACUUGGAGAUAGCUGGUUCUCUCCGAAAUAGCUUUAGGGCUAGCCUCGCAAAGAGGAUGCUGGAGGUAGAGCUCUGUUUGGACUAGGGGCCCGUCAAGGGUUACUGAAUUCAGAUAAACUGCGAAUUCCAGACAUUUAUGUGCGGGAGUCAGACUGCGAGUGAUAAGAUCCGUAGUCGAAAGGGAAACAGCCCAGAUCACCAGUUAAGGUCCCAAAAUUCAUGCUAAGUGGAAAAGGAUGUGGAGUUGCGCAGACAACUAGGACGUUGGCUCAGAAGCAGCCAUCAUUCAAAGAGUGCGUAAUAGCUCACUAGUCGAGUGACGCCGCGCCGAAAAUUUACCGGGGCUAAGCAUGAUACCGAAACUGUGGAUGUGCGUUUAUGCACGUGGUAGGAGAGCGUUCUAGCGGCGGUGAAGCAUGACCGAGAGGACAUGUGGAGCUUCUAGAAGUGAGAAUGCCGGUAUGAGUAACGAAAGACAGGUGAGAAUCCUGUCCGCCGCAAGACUAAGGUUUCCUGGGGCAGGCUCGUCCGCCCAGGGUAAGUCGGGACCUAAGGCGAGGCCGAGAGGCGUAGUCGAUGGACAACAGGUUGAAAUUCCUGUACUGCACCGAAUCGUUAUGAGCGAUGGAGGGACGCAGGAGGCUAGCAGCGCGUGGUGCUGGAUACCACGUUCAAGCGUCAAGUCUGAGAG